This is a non-coding RNA of Defluviimonas sp. 20V17, 80 nucleotides long. The record is from Rfam. Lineage: Bacteria; Pseudomonadati; Pseudomonadota; Alphaproteobacteria; Rhodobacterales; Paracoccaceae.
GGGGACCUUCGGGGCCCUAUACCAACCAUAGGCGGGCCGUUCCGAAACGGACCCCGCCGCAAGCAGACGGAAGACAGGAA